GCAAAAGCAGUAUUAUGUAAAGUGCUUGUUGGUUGGAACUGAAAAUGUAUUUAUUUUUUAGAUGCUCAUUGGGUUGACUUGGCAUGACUCUGGUGGGAUGUAGAUGAAGUCUUCAUUCAGGUUUUCAGAAUCUUCUGCAAAAACCUGCUGCUGGGACCCUGAGAAGAAAGGGACACUCAAACACAGAGAAGAAUCAGCUCCUGUUGAAUUUCCAGAAAGUCAGUCACUGUCCUCCAUCACAAAGACUGAAGGAGGUGCUCCUUUCAUUUUGUAAUUCUCCUUUGCCUCAGGUAAGAACUUCCAGGACUAUCCCUUCUGUGCAUUUGGGAAGAUGAGGAGGGCAGGAGUUCUGCAGGGGUUGGGAAAUGAAGAAGACUUGGAUUGUACUGUUCUAGUUUCUCCUGUUCUAAUGCUGCAGGGGGGACUUACUUGGAAAGGGAGAUGAAAAAUUCCCCUGCUCAAAUGAGAAGAAAUGCAGAUAUAGUAAAUGUAUUUCUAUGUGACUGCCAAGACCUUUGCCCUUUCUUUGAAAUCACCAUCCCCCCAGCUUCAACUCUUGCUGUAGGGAUUAGGUGUCCAUGACUGUACUAGGUGACCCCACCCUCAGCAUCCUUUUGACUAUAGCAGAAUGGAUCAGAGUUCACACCUGGUCCAAGUUGAGUCAAAAUCUUUUUUUUUUUUUCUUAGAAAUUUCUAAUUGGUAUCCAAAGUUGAUAGAAUUCAAUUAGGGAAACCAGAGGCUGUCUGAAUCAACUCCAAAACUGGGGGGUUGCUGGGCUUUUUCAGGAUGUUUGUAUGAAGGUGAGGGCAGGCCAGAGCCAUUUAUGGCCAGGCAUUCUGAGUUUGAAUUCCACCUCUGCCAUUUAUUCAGUGUGUAACUUUGGGCACAUUAAUCUUCCCCAAGGUUGUUUCCAAGUAAGAAAGAUUCAGUUAAGAGUGCUUACCCUGCAGCACUGAUGGGAAGAUUAAAUGAGGUAAAUGAUGUGAAAUCAAUAUGGUUGGUUGGUUGUGGGCAAUGUUUUUGUAAUGAAAUUGAAUAAAAUAGAAAAUAUCAGGCUAUGAUAUGACA
Molecule: long non-coding RNA, 1069 nt
Filed under: Felis catus (domestic cat)
Lineage: Eukaryota; Metazoa; Chordata; Mammalia; Carnivora; Felidae
Description: lncRNA (ENSFCAG00000051687.1)
Source: RNAcentral